UCCUAGACCUAUUUAAGAGCUGGCUACCAGGGGUGAAGGAUCUCUUCUGGAAAUCGCCUCUGUUGGUGUUUUGUGAGUGAGCCCAGGAUAGGGAGUCACGCUUGUCUCCAGAGUCAGAAAACAGCAUGGCUGAGAAAAGAGUAAGAAUCUUUCUGACUUGAAAGUCAUAAAUAACAAGAAAUUUCGUUUCCAAGGAAACUGCGGAUUUCAGUUUGAUAGAGGCUACACCAUAAAGAAGCUCAGUGCUCCUUUUGGGCUUGGCACCAAAGAACGAAGAUAAUUUCAAAAGAGUGUGCAAGAGCCUGGCUGUAUGGGAACUGUUGAUCACAGCCUGUACCUCUGAUUGACCACCUGAGGCAAACAAUGAGUCAGCUGUGGGAGCACAGGUGAAGGCAAUUCACUUGUGCUACUGGAAGGGGUGGAGCCUGGCUCCACCUGUCCUAGAUCCCAUUUAUGUGCUGACUGCCACUGAGGAAGGAUCUCUUUUUGGAGAUUGCUCCUUGUGGAGUUUACUGCAAGCCUACAACACUGAUAUCUACCAGCAACAUUUUCAUUUCAGAGCAGAAGAAAUUGAGGAGGAUCUUGGGCCUGGUCAGAAAUGCAGGCAAUAGGAGUGCUUUAACACCCCAGUGUAUGGGAACUGCUGAGUCACAACCUGAACCUCUGAUUGAUCACCUGAGACAAGCAAUGAGUCAGCCAGAGGAGCACAGGUGAAGGCAAUUUACCUGUGCUGCAGAAGGGGUGGAGCCUGGCUCCACCUCUCUUAGACCCAUUUAAGAGCUGACUACCACUGGGGAGGGAUCUCUUCUGGAGAUUUGCUCUGUUGGAGCUUCAUAUGUGAGCUUGGGAUACAGGCACUUCUCAUAUGAAAUUCAGGGAAGUAUAAUGAGCACUAUUUAUAAGGGCAGAAUUACAAGAUUAUUGCAAUAUAUGCAGUUUGAACUCUACAGCUUGAAGUUCCAUUUACUGGCUCAUGCCUUCAUCUGAAUCUUUCCAAGCUGCUUUCCCUGGAAGAAGAUACAAAUGCAAAAGUGAAAAAGAAUGUGAAUGCUUUCUUUUUUUUUUUUUUUU
Molecule: long non-coding RNA, 1071 nt
Organism: Lagopus muta (rock ptarmigan)
Lineage: Eukaryota; Metazoa; Chordata; Aves; Galliformes; Phasianidae
Exons: 7
Source: RefSeq, a predicted model, not a curated record